Molecule: ribosomal RNA, 986 nt
Filed under: Bacillus velezensis
Lineage: Bacteria; Bacillati; Bacillota; Bacilli; Caryophanales; Bacillaceae
Description: bacterial SSU rRNA
Rfam family: Bacterial small subunit ribosomal RNA
Source: RNAcentral
UGCAAGUCGAGCGGACAGAUGGGAGCUUGCUCCCUGAUGUUAGCGGCGGACGGGUGAGUAACACGUGGGUAACCUGCCUGUAAGACUGGGAUAACUCCGGGAAACCGGGGCUAAUACCGGAUGGUUGUUUGAACCGCAUGGUUCAGACAUAAAAGGUGGCUUCGGCUACCACUUACAGAUGGACCCGCGGCGCAUUAGCUAGUUGGUGAGGUAACGGCUCACCAAGGCGACGAUGCGUAGCCGACCUGAGAGGGUGAUCGGCCACACUGGGACUGAGACACGGCCCAGACUCCUACGGGAGGCAGCAGUAGGGAAUCUUCCGCAAUGGACGAAAGUCUGACGGAGCAACGCCGCGUGAGUGAUGAAGGUUUUCGGAUCGUAAAGCUCUGUUGUUAGGGAAGAACAAGUGCCGUUCAAAUAGGGCGGCACCUUGACGGUACCUAACCAGAAAGCCACGGCUAACUACGUGCCAGCAGCCGCGGUAAUACGUAGGUGGCAAGCGUUGUCCGGAAUUAUUGGGCGUAAAGGGCUCGCAGGCGGUUUCUUAAGUCUGAUGUGAAAGCCCCCGGCUCAACCGGGGAGGGUCAUUGGAAACUGGGGAACUUGAGUGCAGAAGAGGAGAGUGGAAUUCCACGUGUAGCGGUGAAAUGCGUAGAGAUGUGGAGGAACACCAGUGGCGAAGGCGACUCUCUGGUCUGUAACUGACGCUGAGGAGCGAAAGCGUGGGGAGCGAACAGGAUUAGAUACCCUGGUAGUCCACGCCGUAAACGAUGAGUGCUAAGUGUUAGGGGGUUUCCGCCCCUUAGUGCUGCAGCUAACGCAUUAAGCACUCCGCCUGGGGAGUACGGUCGCAAGACUGAAACUCAAAGGAAUUGACGGGGGCCCGCACAACCGGUGGAGCAUGUGGUUUAAUUCGAAGCAACGCGAAGAACCUUACCAGGUCUUGACAUCCUCUGACAAUCCUAGGAUAGGACGUCCCUUCGGGG